GCCCCCGUAGCCCAACGGCAGAGGCAUCCGACUUAAAAUCGGCUCAGUGUCGGUUCGAAUCCGACCGGGGGCA
Molecule: transfer RNA, 73 nt
Filed under: Schaalia hyovaginalis
Lineage: Bacteria; Bacillati; Actinomycetota; Actinomycetes; Actinomycetales; Actinomycetaceae
Description: Actinomyces hyovaginalis tRNA
Rfam family: tRNA
About the family: Transfer RNA (tRNA) molecules are approximately 80 nucleotides in length. Their secondary structure includes four short double-helical elements and three loops (D, anti-codon, and T loops). Further hydrogen bonds mediate the characteristic L-shaped molecular structure. tRNAs have two regions of fundamental functional importance: the anti-codon, which is responsible for specific mRNA codon recognition, and the 3' end, to which the tRNAs corresponding amino acid is attached (by aminoacyl-tRNA synthetases). tRNAs cope with the degeneracy of the genetic code in two manners: having more than one tRNA (with a specific anti-codon) for a particular amino acid; and 'wobble' base-pairing, i.e. permitting non-standard base-pairing at the 3rd anti-codon position.
Source: Rfam by way of RNAcentral